Molecule: ribosomal RNA, 28 nt
Filed under: Bursaphelenchus vallesianus
Lineage: Eukaryota; Metazoa; Nematoda; Chromadorea; Rhabditida; Aphelenchoididae
Description: partial 18S ribosomal RNA
Source: RNAcentral
UGUAGGUGAACCUUCGGCUGGAUCAUUA